UCGUCCGCCCUCCCUCAAAGAUGCACCAGUCCUUAUUCAGUCAAUGUCAUCUCACAGCAAACCGCUGAAAACCAAGACGAGCGUGCCUGCAUUAAAAGCAGCUGAUCAAUGUCCCUGCGUAAAACGCCCGAUAAUCCCUACACAGAGCUGGCAUCUGGCAUCAGAUGCAGCAUGCCAGAGAGAUGAACAGGAAAAGUAUCCAUUGCAUGUUCCUGGCACCUUCUGCUGGCACACGGGUGGGCGGAGAGCAGCGAAAGGGCUCCCGGGAUUCAAAAAUCCCCCCGUCUCAGCGGAUCGGCACAAUCUUUAAAGGCCGUAUGGCUUCGGCGGAGCCACCAUUCCAAAAUGAGGAGUUCAAGGUCUUUUCUUCAGUGGAACUGGUUUUGAGGGGAUUUUUGUCUGAUUACGUCCUCUCAAGUGAAAAGCAAAUUAGCUGAGAAGAGAUUCCACAGCAAACAUCAGACAACUGUGAAACAAAAGCAGCCAGGCAUGAAUGUUCACCACAAUGAAAAAUGAUGACAAACUGUGUACACUUUAAAAGCUGGGAUUAACAGCAAGUAUCCACCUCUCAGCAUGAGUCAUUUCCCAGUUAUUUCUGUACUUGAUUGGAUCAGCACCAAAGCUGCAAAGCAUUUGCUGGGCUCCAGGUGUGUUGCAAAAGGUACUCCCCCACAUAUUAUGAGUGGCCAUGCAACUGAAUGACCAGAUCAUGCAUUCUUCUGGGACAGCAUUCCAGAAGAGCUUGCAAAGGAGUACAGAACACCGUGGAGCUUCAAAGACCUGGAAUCAUCUGUGAGAGAAUCAUCAUCUGAGAAAAGUUAUUUAUUUGUAAAGAAGGUUGAGCUAUUUGGUCUAUGCAUUUAUUUGCUUUAUACAUGUACAAGCAUGAAGUACUGAGCUACACUGAUUCCAUAUGCUGGGAAUGAGAGGGGAAGAUAUACACACAACAAUAAUGUUUCUUCAAAGGCAUGGCAAAUCAGAAGAAUAAAGAAUGAGAGACACUUGAAAGACUUGAAUAUGUUCCUAGGUGUAAACAUAUUGGAUACAGCAGCCCCAUUAAUCCUGAGUCUUUAGCACAGCUCUCUGCCUCAGCCUGACCCUAGGUUGCCAGCACAAGCAUGGGUAGAAUGAACUUAUACCUUAUCCCCAUCAUUGCUGGCCUAACAUCCCCCCUCAAUGGAUUCCAGCAGAAAGCAGGUAUCUGAUCCAUAAUGUAUGUCCCACUUGAUUUAAUUAGCCAUACAUGAAAAUCCUUUAUCAAACUCUACACAUAAGUUUAAUGGUCAAUUUUUUUCACACUAACUUUCAGCUAACCUUUCUAUUGUGGUCUAACUAAAGCAGCACAAACACCAACCUGAAAAGCCAACUAGUAAAAGAAAAUGUAUGCAAUACAAGCUGAAUGUAAAGACAAUUGCUAUUUUAUCUGUUUAAUAAACUGUGGAACAGACUCCCAAGUGAUGGAUUCCUGUAAACCACAGCUAGAUCAGAACACUAAUUUCAUUCCAGUACAGGAAGUAUUUUGUAUCACUUUAAAGGUCUCAUGGCUUAAAUGUGUUAAAAUUACAUCCUUAUGAGCAACAUAACCCCCCUGAAGAGAGCUGCCAGUGACACUGGUGUCCAAAAACAAAUAAGCACAAGAAAAAUGGUAACAAGCUUACUGUGUCCACUCCUGCCAGAAGCAUUUCAGUCAUGUUGGCAUAGAUCUCUUCCAAAGUAAGUUCCUUACUCACUAGGAGGUGUGUAAGUAGCCCACCAUUCACUACUUCUCCUUGGUCCAGCUGAGACUGAAUAGCCUUCAAUUUGUUGUCAACAUGGAUUUGACCUUUGGGAUUCAAAAAAAUUGUUAAGCCUCCAUUUUUAUUUUUCUGCUGGUUCCAUUCAGUAACCAAAUUUCUUAUUUACACUACACUGCACAUCCAGGAGAAAAAAAAAUCUGUUUUCUUAAGGAAAAGUCCUCCUAGAGUGAUGGUGGAGGUCCCUGGGUACUCAUGGCACAGAAAGAUUGAGCUGGCAGGAACCGUGGUAGCUCAAACAUGAGAAUGCUGAGCACAAAGAGACUUCAGUUCCCUUCCCUGAGGGAAACCCGAGCUAAAGUUUUUAUGUCCACCUGGCUCGUCACCUGGUGACUCUGCAAGAAGUGCAGCUGCAACUCAGCACAGAGAGGCUGCUACAAGAUGCUAGCAGCAACCAGAAGGUCAAAGCCACAGAACUCAACUGCUUUGAAGAGAAAGAUGAGGACCAUCAAGUAAUAACAAAAAUACAAAUGACAUGCUGAGCAAUUUCACCUACAGCUUCAUGUAUGCUCUAGUGACUGUAAACAGCAUCUCUGGUCAAGCAAGGGAUUCAAGAAGAGAAAAAACUCCUCCAAAAGUUAAUGGCUCACAGAAUGAGCUUAUAAAAAAUGAAAAUACAUGCAGCUUUCUAAUAUUUGAGAAAGAAAAAGGGUUUAAGUUUUUUUAACACUCAAGAACAUUAAAAAAAUAAAACUGCAAAGACAACUCCAUCUUCCUACUUACAUGAAAAUUGGUUCAUAAAGUAGUCUGGAAUGUUUCAUUUACCAAAAAAAAUCCAUAUUGUAGUACAUCACUGUACUCCAAUGUCAACUUAUACACUUCUGUAUAUAUAUAUAAAAAUAAAUUUUACAAAGUUUUUAAUUAAUUGCCAGAGUCUAGUUUAUUAACUUUCUAGUCAGUUUUAGUGGUGAAUAUGUCAGGAUGCUUAAUUAAAAUUUUGCUG
Molecule: non-coding RNA, 2736 nt
Organism: Lonchura striata (white-rumped munia)
Lineage: Eukaryota; Metazoa; Chordata; Aves; Passeriformes; Estrildidae
Source: RefSeq, a predicted model, not a curated record